This 1467-nucleotide long non-coding RNA is filed under the name Triticum aestivum (bread wheat). RNAcentral's name for it is "long non-coding RNA (TAES_LNC009454)". The record is from RNAcentral. Lineage: Eukaryota; Viridiplantae; Streptophyta; Magnoliopsida; Poales; Poaceae.
GGGUAUGCCUGUGGUCAUCACCUUCCGAGACGACACGACCCGGCGAUUCAGAUUUAUCUUAUUCCUUGCCUCAACAACAUGCUCUGCUUCUUGAGCUUGCAGGUUCUAGCCUUUCUCUUCUCCUCUUGUUGUCUUGCACUCCGAUCAAGCCAUGGUGCAUAUUGCCUCAGAUUUGCUUAUUUGAGUGUGCUUUUAUACAUAAAUCUUGAUUUGUUUGUUUUUCAUAUUUUUAGGGAUAUGAGGAGAGAACUCUAUUGUUGGCAGUGACUGCAUCAUUUCCACAAGUGAUAUGGUUGAUCUUUGCUAUGUGGACGAUGGCAGGAUCUGUACCUAAGUUUGGAGAUUCUGAAUUAGUAAGAAAACGAUGGCAACCAUUUGAUUGUUUUUUUAUUACUUUAGGAAUAUGAGGAGAGAGCUCUAUUGUUGGCAGGGGCUGCAUCAUUAUCUUUGCUAUGUGGACCGAUGGCAUGAUCUGUACCUAAGGUUGAAGAUUCUGAAUUAGGAAAGAAAAAGAUGACAGCCACUUCGUUUUAGUACAUCAGUUUACUGAAUAAUUCUACGCUUUGAACUGCACGAUUACAGUGACAAUAUAACUAAAUAAUGGAAGAAACUUAAGGCUAGACACCACAUAAAUUUUCUUUUUAUUUGAAUUUAUAAUUAGACACUUGAAUUUAGCUUGAUACAUAUCAUAUGAUACCUUAGAAGCCCAUAUUGUAAAAUUUGACCAGUUCCCAUAAGGCCACAACUGUAUCUUAGUGUAGAAUUUACUUUCUCUUUUCGAAUGCCCAUAUAUUAUGUUGCUCUCUGAUUCAACUUAUACGCAUUUAGCAGCUUAUCUUUAUCAUGUUAUCCCGUUCUUACCAAUACCAUGUGGUAGCUAAAUGUGUUGAUCUACCACUGUAGUGUUAGUAUUGUUUUUCAACUAUUUUUUAUUGGCCAGCUAUAUGAUGUUAGUCAGCUAGUUCCAUUUUUGGACGAUUAAUUAUUUGCAUGGAUGUUAAGUGAAUGGCUUAUAUUGCCUUACAGUGGUAAACUGAAAAGUGCCUUACAUGAGGACUGAUGGUGAUAUUAUAUACAUGUAUGUAUAUGUUUUCAUUAAGCAGAACACGUGAGAAAUCACUGAUGCGCAUGGAUGAUAGCUUUCCCACGAUGAAACAAAGUUGAUCUUGAAAUAAUCAUAGCUGAGGGAUUAGGUUCGUAACUGAGGGUAUGUGCAGAGCUGGAGGAAGAAGUUGCGAGGCUUGAAACUCUUCUUGUGAAGGGCUCAGGGACAGCAGUGGGGACAAUGCCUCCUUAGUUGUAAUUGUGAUACUUCUGAUGUGCAAAUAAACACUCUUAUGAAACUCCUUAUGCUGAAAUGUUGGUUGUUAGUACAUUAUUUGGUUCUCUGGUACUGAUUUCAUGAUUUGUGGUUAAUACAUGAUGUAAUACAAUCCACAUUGCAUUAUAUUCCCAACUACAUCUCCU